This 926-nucleotide ribosomal RNA is filed under the name uncultured bacterium. RNAcentral describes it as "bacterial SSU rRNA". It matches the Rfam family "Bacterial small subunit ribosomal RNA", at positions 8 to 924 of the family's 1533-position model. The record is from RNAcentral.
AGAGUUUGAUCCUGGCUCAGAUUGAACGCUGGCGGCAUGCCUAACACAUGCAAGUCGAACGGAAACGAUGCUAGCUUGCUAGCAGGCGUCGAGUGGCGGACGGGUGAGUAAUGUAUAGGGAUCUGCCUAGUAGUGGGGGACAACAUGUGGAAACGCAUGCUAAUACCGCAUACGCUCUACGGAGGAAAGUGGGGGACCUUUCGGGGCCUCAUGCUACUAGAUGAACCUAUAUUGGAUUAGCUUGUUGGUAAGGUAAUGGCUUACCAAGGCGACGAUCCAUAGCUGGUUUGAGAGAAUGAUCAGCCACACUGGGACUGAGACACGGCCCAGACUCCUACGGGAGGCAGCAGUGGGGAAUAUUGCACAAUGGAGGAAACUCUGAUGCAGCAAUGCCGCGUGUGUGAAGAAGGCCUUAGGGUUGUAAAGCACUUUCAGACGUGAGGAAAAGUAAUAAUUUAAUAAAUUAUUGCCUUGACGUUAACGUCAGAAGAAGGACCGGCUAACUCCGUGCCAGCAGCCGCGGUAAUACGGAGGGUCCAAGCGUUAAUCGGAAUUACUGGGCGUAAAGCGCGCGUAGGCGGAUAUUUAAGUCAGAUGUGAAAUCCCUGGGCUCAACCUAGGAACUGCAUUUGAUACUGGAUAUCUAGAGUAUGGUAGAGGUGAGUGGAAUUUCAGGUGUAGCGGUGAAAUGCGUAGAGAUCUGAAGGAACAUCAGUGGCGAAGGCGACUCACUGGGCCAUUACUGACGCUGAGGUGCGAAAGCGUGGGUAGCAAACAGGAUUAGAUACCCUGGUAGUCCACGCCCUAAACGAUGUCAACUAGGUGUAUGGGAGUUUAACUCCUGUGUAUCGAAGCUAACGCGAUAAGUUGACCGCCUGGGGAGUACGGUCGCAAGACUAAAACUCAAUGAAUUGACGGGGGCCCGC